Molecule: ribosomal RNA, 2295 nt
Filed under: Triticum aestivum (bread wheat)
Lineage: Eukaryota; Viridiplantae; Streptophyta; Magnoliopsida; Poales; Poaceae
Description: partial small subunit ribosomal RNA
Source: RNAcentral
AUGGCCAGAUGCAUGUUGAAGAGCAUGGACAUGCCAGCGUACUUCUGGGCGGAGGCGGUGAGAACCGCCGUGUAUGUGCUGAAUCGCGCGCCCACACGCAGUCUGGAAGGUGUCACACCUUAUGAAGCGUGGCACGGCCGUAAGCCUAGCGUGCAACACUUGCGCACGUUCGGGUGCACGGUUCAGGUCAAGAACGUCGGCCCCGGCGUCACGAAGCUAAGCGAUCGCUCAACGGCAAUGGUGUUCAUUGGAUACGAGGAAGGUUCCAAGGCCUAUCGUGUGUACAACCCAACAACGAAGAAGGUGCAGGUGACUCGAGACGUGAUCUUUGAAGAAAGCAGGGCCUGGACAUGGCACGCACCGGGCGCGGCAGAGGACCGCGCCACGCCGACGACCUUCACAGUCGUGUACACCACUGCCGGCGGGGUGCACGAGAUAGACACAGGGUCUCCUACGUGUGCCUCGACGCCGCAGCGGUCCCCAACGCCCAAAACACCUACACCCGCGGCCUCACCUGCUGGGGUGAUCACGCCGGCUUCAAGUACAUCAGGGACGCCAGAGUCCACUCCGGCAACACCUGCAGCAGCGGACGGGAACUGCUCGGCCACCCUGCAGUCACACGACUCCAGACAUGAUGUGCCAACAGGACAGCCAGUGCGCUUCCGGAGCUUCACGAGCGUACUGGAGGAAACUGAAGAUCAGGCAGUGCGUGAGCAGUUUGAACGCUGCCUGCUUGUGCGUUGCAUGUUUAGCGCGGAGGAGCCAAGCGAUGUGGAUGAAGCGCUGGCUAGCAAGGCAUGGAAAGGGGCCAUGGAUGUCGAGAUGCAGUCCAUUGUCGAAAAUGGCACAUGGAAGCUUGCUCAACUCCCGGCUGAGCACAAAGCAAUAGGACUGAAGUGGGUGUAUCGUGUCAAACGUGAUCCGACAGGCAAUGUAGUCAAGCACAAGGCUCGCCUCGUCGCAAAGGGAUAUGUCCAGCGUCAGGGGGUGGAUUUUGAGGAGGUUUUCGCCCUCGUAGCUCGCAUGGAGACAGUUCGGCUGCUGCUGGCUCUCGCCGCGCACUCUGGCUGGGAAGUUCAUCACAUGGACGUGAAAUCAGCCUUCCUGAACGGCGAUCUCACUGAGGAGGUAUAUGUUGAUCAGCCACCGGGGUAUGAAGUUGCAGGCCAGGAAGGAAAGGUACUCCAACUGCACAAGGCUCUGUAUGGGCUGCAUCAGGCACCGCGGGCGUGGUAUGCAAAGUUGGAUGAAACUCUCACCUCCCUUGGUUUCACGCGAAGCGCUCUGGAGCAUGCUGUGUACCGACGAGGUAACUCACAAUCACACUUGUUGGUUGGAGUGUAUGUAGAUGAUCUGAUCAUCACAGGAACCACAGCAGCAGAUAUCAUCUCUUUCAAAGAACAGAUGCAAAAACUCUUCAAAAUGAGUGAUCUCGGGCGGCUAAGUUACUAUCUGGGAAUUGAGGUAGAUCAAAGCAGCAAUGGAAUUACUCUGAGUCAGAAGAGCUAUGCGGGUGAGAUUCUGGAGAUUGCAGAGAUGAGCAACUGCAACAGUUGCCACACACCAAUGGAGUGUCGUCUAAAACUGAAAAAAGACGAUGACUGUGAUCUGUUUGAUGCUACCUUGUACCGCAGAGUGAUUGGGAGCCUGCGCUAUCUUGUGAACACAAGACCAGACAUCGCACAUUCAGUGGGUAUCGUCAGUAGAUUCAUGGAGAAUCCAAGCACUAAUCACUGGGCAGCGGUCAAACAGAUACUGAGGUAUAUCAAAGGCACAAUGCACUAUGGGUGCAGCUACAAGAGAGGACACGGAACUGCUGAACUGAUUGGGUUCAGCGAUAGCGAUCAUGCUGGGGAUGUUGGUGAUCGCAAAAGCACUUCUGGACAUGUUUUCUUCCUUGGUAAGAAUCUGAUUACUUGGAGCUCCCAGAAGCAGAAGAUCGUCGCUCUCUCUUCCUGUGAAGCAGAAUAUGUUGCAAUAGCAGCUGCCACUUGUCAGGGACUGUGGCUGAGCCGGCUGCUGGAGGACAUCACAGGUACCUCGCCGGCGCAGUUCAAAUUACUGGUGGACAACAAAUCAGCCAUAGCUCUGAGCAAGAACCCAGUUCAUCAUGAUCGAAGUAAACACAUUGAUGUCAAGUUUCACUUUGUGAGAGAUUGCAUGGAGAAGAAACAGGUGGAGAUAGAUCAUGUUGGAACUCAGGACCAGCUCGCCGAUGCACUCACCAAAGCGCUCGGGCGCGUUCGUUUCAUCGAAUUGCGACAUAGGCUUGGGAUGAUCGGCGUAGUGCAGUGA